AUUAUCCAUCAACUUUGUCUUGCUCACUAUGCUUAAGGUUAGAGUAGAAAAAUACACUUUUGGUUUUGUUGGUGUUUUCCACCAACAGAGCCCAUGCACUUGAUCUCUGCCUUGUCUUUAUGAGCAGGUACACUUCGAGCAAAAUAUGAAGGAGGUUUACAACUCCCAGACUCCACCAAGUGAAGAACCUAGAUCUACGAGCACAAACACAC
Molecule: long non-coding RNA, 212 nt
Filed under: Sorghum bicolor (sorghum)
Lineage: Eukaryota; Viridiplantae; Streptophyta; Magnoliopsida; Poales; Poaceae
Description: long non-coding RNA (SBIC_LNC012559)
Source: RNAcentral